CUCAAGUGGUCAGGAGGAUUAUUGGGCCUAAAGCAUCCGUAGCCGGCUCUGUAAGUUUUCGGUUAAAUCCAUGUGCUCAACACAUGGGCUGCCGAAAAUACUGCAUAGCUAGGGAGUGGGAGAGGUAGACGGUACUCGGUAGGAAGGGGUAAAAUCCUUUGAUCUAUCGAUGACCACCUGUGGCGAAGGCGGUCUACCAGAACACGUUCGACGGUGAGGGAUGAAAGCUGGGGGAGCAAACCGGAUUAGAUACCCGGGUAGUCCCAGCUGUAAACGAUGCAGACUCGAUGAUGCAUUGGCAUAUAGCCAGUGCAGUGUCGCAGGGAAGCCGUUAAGUCUGCCGCCUGGGAAGUACGUACGCAAGUAUGAAACUUAAAGGAAUUGGCGGGGGAGCACCACAAGGGGUGAAGCCUGCGGUUCAAUUGGAGUCAACGCCAGAAAUCUUACCCGGAGAGACAGCAGAAUGAAGGUCAAGCUGAAGACUUUACCAGACAAGCUGAGAGGUGGUGCAUGGCCGUCGCCAGCUCGUGCCGUGAGAUGUCCUGUUAAGUCAGGUAACGAGCGAGAUCCUCGCCACUAGUUGCUAUCAUUAUUCUCAGGAAUAGUGGGGCGAAUUAGUGGGACUGCCGUUGUUAAAACGGAGGAAGGAGGGGGCUACGGCAGGUCAGUAUGCCCCGAAACUCUGGGGCCACACGCGGGCUGCAAUGGUAGCGACAAUGAGCUCCAAACUCGAAAGAGAGUGGCAAUCUCUAAACGCUACCACAGUUAUGACUGAGGGCUGUAACUCGCCCUCACGAAUAUGGAAUCCCUAGUAACCGCGUGUCAUUACCGCGCGGUGAAUACGUCCCUGCUCC
This 854-nucleotide ribosomal RNA is filed under the name uncultured archaeon. Its description in RNAcentral is "bacterial SSU rRNA". It matches the Rfam family "Archaeal small subunit ribosomal RNA", at positions 483 to 1336 of the family's 1478-position model. The record is from RNAcentral.